GCUCAAACUUUGAUGCUGUCAACGAGACGAUCAACACAUUAGCUUCCACCUCCGAUCCGAGUUCCUUGCAACGGCAAGAACUUAUAAUGCUGACUGCUGAUUCUGCUCGCAAGAUUUCAGGCUUACCUGCUAUAACUGAACACGCUCUUUCUCCACAACUACAUGCUUCCGUUGUUCCAGGCAGUGGCGGACCCAAGAAUAUGAUCGAUCCAUUCUGCUGCCCCA
Molecule: long non-coding RNA, 225 nt
Filed under: Musa acuminata (dwarf banana)
Lineage: Eukaryota; Viridiplantae; Streptophyta; Magnoliopsida; Zingiberales; Musaceae
Description: long non-coding RNA (MACU_LNC008590)
Source: RNAcentral